GACGAACGCUGGCGGCGUGCCUAAUACAUGCAAGUCGAACGCAGUGGGGACGGGUGAGUAACACGUGGGUAACCUCCCAUCAGAGGGGAUAACACUUGGAAACAGGUGCUAAACCGAUACUGAUGGAUGGACCCGCGGUGCAUUAGCUAGUUGGUGAGGUAACGGCUCACCAAGGCCACGAUGCAUAGCCGACCUGGGAGGGUGAUGGGCAACACUGGGAAGGAGACACGGCCCAGACUCCAACGGGGGGCAGAAGGGGGGAAUCUUCGGCAAUGGAGGAAAGUCUGACCGGCCAACGCCGGGUGAGUGAAGAAGGUUUUCGGAUCGUAAAACUCUGUUGUGAGAGAAGCGGUAACUAACCAGAAAGCCACGGCUAACUACGUGCCAGCAGCCGCGGUAAUU
RNAcentral lists this ribosomal RNA (402 nucleotides) under uncultured bacterium. Its description in RNAcentral is "partial 16S ribosomal RNA". It matches the Rfam family "Bacterial small subunit ribosomal RNA", at positions 28 to 525 of the family's 1533-position model. The record is from RNAcentral.